UGGAACUUAUGAAGAAGUAGUUUUAUCAGGUAAAGCGAAUGAUUAGAGGCUUUGGGGAAGAAACUUCCUCGACCUAUUCUCAAACUUUAAAUAGGUAAGAUUUGAAGGAUACUUAAGUGAUCUUUCAAUCUCUUGAAUAUAAAGUUCUUAGUGGGCCAUUUUUGGUAAGCAGGACUGGCGAUGUGGGAUGAACCAAACGUAAAAGUUAAAGUGCCUAAAUUUUUAAUGCUCAUUCUAGAUACCAUAAAAGGUGUGGCUUGAUCUAGACAGAAGGACGGUGGUCAUGGAAGUCGAAAUCCGCUAAGAAGUGUGUAAAAACUUACCUUUCGAAUUAAGUUGCCCUGAAAAAUGGAUGGCGCUUAAGCAUUUAAAAAAUAUUUUAUAUAUCUUUACUUAGACUUUACUAUUAAAAUUUAACUUAGAUUUUAAUAUGUAGGAGG
This 440-nucleotide ribosomal RNA is filed under the name uncultured eukaryote. Its description in RNAcentral is "eukaryotic LSU rRNA". It matches the Rfam family "Eukaryotic large subunit ribosomal RNA", at positions 981 to 1388 of the family's 3401-position model. The record is from RNAcentral.